This 484-nucleotide ribosomal RNA is filed under the name uncultured bacterium. RNAcentral describes it as "partial 16S ribosomal RNA". It matches the Rfam family "Bacterial small subunit ribosomal RNA", at positions 29 to 507 of the family's 1533-position model. The record is from RNAcentral.
AUUGAACGCUGGCGGCAUGCUUUACACAUGCAAGUCGAACGGCAGCGCGGGCUUCGGCCUGGCGGCGAGUGGCGAACGGGUGAGUAAUACAUCGGAACGUGCCCAGUAGUGGGGGAUAGCUCGGCGAAAGCCGGAUUAAUACCGCAUACGACCUGAGGGUGAAAGCGGGGGAUCUUCGGACCUCGCGCCUUUGGACCGGCUGAGGGCAAAUUAGCUAGUUGGGGGGGUAAAGGCCAACCAAGGCGAGGAUCUGUAGCUGGUCGGAGAGGACGACCGGCAAAACGGGAACUGGAACACGGCCCAGACUCCUACGGGAGGCAGCAGUGGGGAAUUUUGGACAAUGGGCGAAGGCCUGCUCCAGCAAUGCCGCGUGUGUGAUGAAGGCCUUCGGGUUGUAAAGCACGUCGGGCGGGAACGAAAAGGACUGUGCCAAUACCACGGUGCGAUGACGGUACCCGCAGAAUAAGCACCGGCUAACUACGUG